RNAcentral lists this ribosomal RNA (340 nucleotides) under uncultured bacterium. RNAcentral's name for it is "bacterial SSU rRNA". It matches the Rfam family "Bacterial small subunit ribosomal RNA", at positions 100 to 438 of the family's 1533-position model. The record is from RNAcentral.
GAACGGGUGAGUAACACGUGGGUAAUCUGCCCUGCACUCUGGGAUAAGCCUUGGAAACGGGGUCUAAUACCGGAUAGGACGCAUGGCCGCAUGGUCUGUGUGUGGAAAGUUCCGGCGGUGUAGGUUGAGCCCGCGGCCUAUCAGCUUGUUGGUGGGGUGAUGGCCUACCAAGGCGACGACGGGUAGCCGGCCUGAGAGGGUGACCGGCCACACUGGAACUGAGACACGGCCCAGACUCCUACGGGAGGCAGCAGUGGGGAAUCUUGCGCAAUGGGCGAAAGGCCGAUCCAGCAAUAUCGCGUGAGUGAAGAAGGGCAAUGCCGCUUGUAAAGCUCUUUCG